Molecule: ribosomal RNA, 402 nt
Filed under: uncultured bacterium
Lineage: Bacteria
Description: bacterial SSU rRNA
Rfam family: Bacterial small subunit ribosomal RNA
Source: RNAcentral
UGAGGAAUCUUGCACAAUGGGGGAAACCCUGAUGCAGCGACGCCGCGUGAACGAUGAAGCCCUUCGGGGUGUAAAGUUCUUUCGACAGGAACGAUAAUGACGGUACCUGGAGAAGAAGCUGCGGCUAACUACGUGCCAGCAGCCGCGGUAAUACGUAGGCAGCGAGCGUUGUUCGGAGUUACUGGGCGUAAAGAGUGCGUAGGCGGCGAGCCAAGUUUGGUGUGAAAUCUCCCGGCUUAACCGGGAGGGUGCGCCGAAAACUGGUUGGCUGGAGUAUGGGAGAGGAAAGCGGAAUUCCUGGUGUAGCGGUGAAAUGCGUAGAUAUCAGGAGGAACACCUGCGGUGUAGACAGCUUUCUGGACCAAAACUGACGCUGAGGCACGAAAGCGUGGGUAGCAAACA